UACAGAGGUGGCAAGCGUUGUUCGGAAUUACUGGGCGUAAAGCGUGCGCAGGCGGUUUGCUAAGACAGGUGUGAAAUCCCCGGGCUUAACCUGGGAACUGCGCUUGUUACUGGCAGGCUUGAGUGUGGCAGAGGGGGGUGGAAUUCCACGUGUAGCAGUGAAAUGCGUAGAGAUGUGGAGGAACACCGAUGGCGAAGGCAGCCCCCUGGGCUAACACUGACGCUCAUGCACGAAAGCGUGGGGAGCAAACAGG
Molecule: ribosomal RNA, 253 nt
Filed under: uncultured bacterium
Lineage: Bacteria
Description: partial 16S ribosomal RNA
Rfam family: Bacterial small subunit ribosomal RNA
Source: RNAcentral